CCUACGGGAGGCAGCAGUGAGGACUAUUGGUCAAUGGACGAGAGUCUGAACCAGCCAAGUAGCGUGAAGGAUGACUGCCCUAUGGGUUGUAAACUUCUUUUAUAAAGGAAUAAAACGAGGCACGUGUGCCUUUUUGCAUGUACUUUAUGAAUAAGGAUCGGCUAACUCCGUGCCAGCAGCCGCGGUAAUACGGAGGAUCCGAGCGUUAUCCGGAUUUAUUGGGGUUAAAGGGAGCGUAGAUGGGUUGUUAAGUCAGUUGUGAAAGUUUGCGGCUCAACCUUAAAAUUGCAAUGGAUACUGGCAGUCUUGAGUACAGUUGAGGUAGGCGGAAUGCGGGGUGUAGCGGUGAAAUGCUUAGAUAUCACGAAGAACCCCGAUUGCGAAGGCAGCUUACCAAACUGUGACUGACAUUGAUGCUCGAAAGCGUGGGUAUCAAACAGGAUUAGAUACCCGAGUAGUC
RNAcentral lists this ribosomal RNA (460 nucleotides) under uncultured bacterium. RNAcentral describes it as "partial 16S ribosomal RNA". It matches the Rfam family "Bacterial small subunit ribosomal RNA", at positions 338 to 795 of the family's 1533-position model. The record is from RNAcentral.